This 253-nucleotide ribosomal RNA is filed under the name uncultured bacterium. Its description in RNAcentral is "partial 16S ribosomal RNA". It matches the Rfam family "Bacterial small subunit ribosomal RNA", at positions 524 to 776 of the family's 1533-position model. The record is from RNAcentral.
GACGGAGGGCGCGAACGUUGUUCGGAAUCACUGGGCGUAAAGGGCGCGUAGGCGGACCGGUAAGUCGAGGGUGAAAUUCCAGGGCUCAACUCUGGAACUGCCUUUGAAACUGCCGGUCUAGAGUGCAGGAGAGGAAGGCGGAAUUCCAGGUGUAGCGGUGGAAUGCGUAGAUAUCUGGAAGAACACCAGUGGCGAAGGCGGCCUUCUGGACUGACACUGACGCUGAUGCGCGAAAGCUGGGGGAGCAAACAGG